Molecule: ribosomal RNA, 539 nt
Filed under: Chrysomya chloropyga
Lineage: Eukaryota; Metazoa; Arthropoda; Insecta; Diptera; Calliphoridae
Also listed under: 1 other name
Description: partial small subunit ribosomal RNA
Rfam family: Bacterial large subunit ribosomal RNA
Source: RNAcentral
AGCCUGCCCACUGAAUAAUUUUUAAAUGGCCGCAGUAUACUAACUGUGCAAAGGUAGCAUAAUCAUUAGUCUUUUAAUUGAAGGCUGGUAUGAAUGGUUGGACGAGAUAUUAACUGUUUCAUAAAAAUUUAUAAUAGAAUUUUAUUUUUUAGUCAAAAAGCUAAAAUAUAUUUAAAAGACGAGAAGACCCUAUAAAUCUUUAUAUUUAGAUUAUUAUAAUUUUAUAGAUUUUUUUUGUUAUAAUAAUUAAUAAUAUUUUAUUGGGGUGAUAUUAAAAUUUAAUAAACUUUUAAUUUUUAAAAUCAUUAAUUUAUGAAUAAUUGAUCCGUUAUUAGCGAUUAAAAAAAUAAGUUACUUUAGGGAUAACAGCGUAAUUUUUUUGGAGAGUUCAUAUCGAUAAAAAAGAUUGCGACCUCGAUGUUGGAUUAAGAUAUAAUUUUAGGUGUAGCCGCUUAAAUUUUAAGUCUGUUCGACUUUUAAAUUCUUACAUGAUCUGAGUUCAAACCGGCGUAAGCCAGGUUGGUUUCUAUCUUUAAAAA